RNAcentral lists this ribosomal RNA (115 nucleotides) under Danio rerio (zebrafish). The record is from RNAcentral. Lineage: Eukaryota; Metazoa; Chordata; Actinopteri; Cypriniformes; Danionidae.
UCCUGCAGCUUGCUCUCUACCACCCUCACAUGGUUGCACACUGAAGCUAAGCAGGGUUGUGCCUGGUCAGUACCUGGAUGGAAGACCACAUACGAAACCUGGGUUGCUGCAACAA